Molecule: ribosomal RNA, 253 nt
Filed under: uncultured bacterium
Lineage: Bacteria
Description: partial 16S ribosomal RNA
Rfam family: Bacterial small subunit ribosomal RNA
Source: RNAcentral
UACGUAGGGUGCGAGCGUUAAUCGGAAUUACUGGGCGUAAAGGGCGCGUAGGCGGCUUGAUAAGGUUGCGGUGAAAGCCCGGGGCUCAACCCCGGGUCGGCCGUGGCAACUGUCGAGCUGGAGCACUGUAGAGGCAGGUGGAAUUCCGGGUGUAGCGGUGGAAUGCGUAGAGAUCCGGAAGAACACCGGUGGCGAAGGCGGCUCUCUGGGCCUUACCUGACGCUGAGGAGCGAAAGCGUGGGUAGCGAACAGG